Molecule: long non-coding RNA, 1611 nt
Organism: Lagopus leucura (white-tailed ptarmigan)
Lineage: Eukaryota; Metazoa; Chordata; Aves; Galliformes; Phasianidae
Exons: 5
Source: RefSeq, a predicted model, not a curated record
CCAGGCUGCACCCGGCGGUGCCCAGCAGCGGGACCGGAGGCACUGGGCACACGCUGCAGCGCAGCAGGUUUCCCUGCAAGGCUGCCACGGCCGCGCUGCUUCCCCGUUUUGGGUAACACUACUGGAUAUGUAUGGCUGGGCUGAUGAAUGUAUCGAGACCCCACUGUAGCGCGCGAGCUCGGAGGAGCGAUCCGCCUUGCACCCGGCGUGUGGCGCAGCGCUGAAGGAAAGACGUCUCUGCUCUCCUAACCUGACGUGGGUUCGAGAGUUUGAUUCUGCAGAUCAGUUGGGCACCGCAGAUGGGACACUUUCUGUUCGGCUGCAGGACCAGUUGAGGAGGGAGAAUUGUUGGAAGGACUCCCCCUGCUCAUCCGAUCACUGCGGGGACAGACGGGGACCAUGUGGAAGCGGACCAGAUAAAAGGCUGGCGAUGUUUCUUACUGGUGCUUCAAAACAAACACUCCAAAGCCCACGCAGAGAUCACCACCUCCAACCACAGAGCUACCAGAGGAACUGUAGAGCAUAGCAGCUUCUAUAGCUACUGCUGUUGGAGCGUUUGGAUCUCAAGUGCCUGCAAAGCAGUUCCUGAAAACUCCUCAGGUGUGGAGUUUCAUCCAUUCCGAAUCUGCCAGCUCUGGUGUUCUUGAGCAGCUCCAUCCUGCAGAGCCCUGCCUGCAGCCGGACCCGCUGACACCGGAGCCCUCUGCCGCUGUCACCAUCGUCUGCCACGAGGACGGGGACGCACAGUGAUGAACUCUGUGCCACCACCAGCCAAUGUCAGGUGUCACUGUCAUGUGGAGGGGACAAAAGGACCCCCUGGGGACCUGCCAAAAACUUCACCAUAUCUAGGCUUUCAAACAAGUCCUCCUGGAUCGCUUCUCUUACGCCCAGCUCACGAAUGUAGUAUGUAAUGUAAUUCUGAAGGUCCUCCAUGGAAGACCACAAUCCUGUGCUUAAUGGAAUGCCUGAUUUGUUCGGCCAAGCCACGUGGAUGCUGCCAUUCACCAGUCUGUUAUCGACUGGUUCUCACUGCUCUAUGAACAGCAGCAUACAGCCUCUGCCUGAUGACAGUGUUACCGUCAUGGUGGCCAACUUUGAUACCUCUGGCCCAUUCACCAUGACACCUUCCGCCCCUGAGCCCCACAACCCAAGUAACCACGUGGGCACAACUCUCUUUCGGCCUCUGCCAAAGUGCUGCAGCACAUCCAUCAGUUCUGUUGGUGCGCACAGCCUGGCCGCCAAGUGUGAAUGCGUUUGGGCAGGGGGCACCCCACCAGUCUGCCUUGGACUCAGUCUUCUGGGUUAUAAUGGGAUGGGGUUCCAAGGAAUCUGCCACACGUGGAGCCCCUAAAUCUGACCUAGAGUUUUUGUUUUCCUGUUCAACCAGGUCCGUUGCUUCAGAGGUGUGGUCAUUACCUACUGAAAUGCUGGCCUAUCGAGGAACAUCAAGCUCGUCUUUCCCCUGUGAAUACAUUAAGUUCCUGUUCCAGUUUUUCAAAGAGCCACUAGCAGAGCAGAGGAAGAUGGCUGCAGCAGGUCACGCACCUGGCCCACCAUCCGGCAGCUAGAAUGGCCAGUAAUGAACACCCGGCAACCCCUCUGCGCUUCAGA